RNAcentral lists this unclassified non-coding RNA (376 nucleotides) under soil metagenome. Its description in RNAcentral is "partial contains 5.8S ribosomal RNA, internal transcribed spacer 2, and large subunit ribosomal RNA". The stretch from base 1 to 120 matches the Rfam family "5.8S ribosomal RNA", at positions 35 to 154 of the family's 154-position model. The record is from RNAcentral.
GAUGAAGAACGCAGCGAAAUGCGAUAAGUAAUGUGAAUUGCAGAAUUCAGUGAAUCAUCGAAUCUUUGAACGCAUCUUGCGCUCCUUGGUAUUCUGAGGAGCAUGCCUGUUUGAGUGUCAUUAAAUUCUCAACUACACUGACUUUGAAUUGGUGUGGCUUGGAUUUGGGGGGAAAAUUGUUGUGGGCUUUUUGUAUAGUCUGCUCCCCUGAAAUUGAUUAGCGGUACCUUUGUGGAACUGUCUACAGGUGUGAUAAUUAUCUACAUCUUAGACAUCUGCUGGAAUGCUGCUUUCUAAACCAUACUUGUAUUGACAAUCUUGACCUCAAAUCAGGUAGGACUACCCGCUGAACUUAAGCAUAUCAAUAAGCGGAGGA